UGUACACGUGCGUUAUGUCAAAAAGAGUGACAGUAGCUCCCAAAUCAACACCUUAACCUUUGAGUGCUUUUAUCUCCUUUAUAUUAGCUCCAAAUCAUAUAAGAUUUGCAACAAAACCAUAGACAAAAACAUAAACUUGCUGACCUUAGCCUUCAAAGCUCGAAUGCCCUCGAAACACUAACCCUAAUCCCUAAUAUGGCCUCAGGCAGCCUCCUCAAAGCCCAUUGGUCAUGAUUUUUGACCAAUAGGAAUGGAGAUUUUCAUCAUUCAUCUCCAUUCAUCUAUAUUAGUGUCCUAAUUACUCCCUUUGCUACCAAAAUACUUCUUCAAUGCUUUUUCUUAUAAGAUUUAUAUAAUUUAUAUUCUAAACACCAAAUAAAAGAACCAAAAUAAGUUUCUAAAGGUCACCAAUGUCUAAUAACGAUGACUCUAAAUAUUUAGAAGUUACUAUCAACCAAAACCAAUCUUAAAAGCCACUAUCAAAAAGAAAUUAAAGUUAUAUAAAUUCUAUAGUAAUCUUUUUAAUCAGCCUCUUUUCAAGGCAAUAAUCAAAUUAUAUUCUACAACCAACUAAAAUCUACUAACAUGGCUCUCACCAUGUUACUUAAAUAAAUUAUAUAUUAAGUACACAAUUACAUUAUUUUCAUAUAGUAGCCGAACCACAAUACAAAAAUGUCGUUUAUACUCCUUCUUCACCUUGACAUCAACAUCAUCACUAGGAGGCUCUUCACUUUCAUCAACAAUGUCCCAAAGGUCCAAUGAAGCCA
Molecule: long non-coding RNA, 767 nt
Filed under: Physcomitrium patens
Lineage: Eukaryota; Viridiplantae; Streptophyta; Bryopsida; Funariales; Funariaceae
Description: long non-coding RNA (PPAT_LNC010457)
Source: RNAcentral